This 344-nucleotide ribosomal RNA is filed under the name uncultured bacterium. RNAcentral's name for it is "bacterial SSU rRNA". It matches the Rfam family "Bacterial small subunit ribosomal RNA", at positions 527 to 870 of the family's 1533-position model. The record is from RNAcentral.
GUAUGGGGCGAGCGUUGUUCGGAAUUAUUGGGCGUAAAGGGUAUGUAGGCSGUUUGAUAAGUCAGGCGUGAAAGUCCAUGGCUCAACCCUGGAAAGCCGUUUGAAACUGUCAAACUUGAGUCCAGGAGAGGAGAGCGGAAUUCCCGGUGUAGCGGUGAAAUGUGUAGAUAUCGGGAAGAACACCAGUGGCGAAGGCGGCUCUCUGGACUGGAACUGACGCUGAAAUACGAAAGCGUGGGGAGCGAACGGGAUUAGAUACCCCGGUAGUCCACGCUGUAAACGAUGGGCACUAGGUGCAGGAGGUAUCGACCCCGUCUGUGCCGUACUAACGCAUUAAGUGCCCC